GACGAACGCUGGCGGCGUGCUUAACACAUGCAAGUCGAACGGAAAGGCCCUGCUUUUGUGGGGUGCUCGAGUGGCGAACGGGUGAGUAACACGUGAGUAACCUGCCCUUGACUUUGGGAUAACUUCAGGAAACUGGGGCUAAUACCGGAUAGGAGCUCCUGCUGCAUGGUGGGGGUUGGAAAGUUUCGGCGGUUGGGGAUGGACUCGCGGCUUAUCAGCUUGUUGGUGGGGUAGUGGCUUACAAAGGCUUUGUCGGGUAGCCGGCCUGAGAGGGUGACCGGCCACAUUGGGACUGAGAUACGGCCCAGACUCCUACGGGAGGCAGCAGUGGGGAAUAUUGCACAAUGGGCGGAAGCCUGAUGCAGCAACGCCGCGUGCGGGAUGACGGCCUUCGGGUUGUAAACCGCUUUCGCCUGUGACGAAGCGUGAGUGACGGUAAUGGGUAAAGAAGCACCGGCUAACUACGUG
This 468-nucleotide ribosomal RNA is filed under the name uncultured bacterium. RNAcentral describes it as "partial 16S ribosomal RNA". It matches the Rfam family "Bacterial small subunit ribosomal RNA", at positions 28 to 507 of the family's 1533-position model. The record is from RNAcentral.